RNAcentral lists this ribosomal RNA (420 nucleotides) under uncultured bacterium. RNAcentral describes it as "bacterial SSU rRNA". It matches the Rfam family "Bacterial small subunit ribosomal RNA", at positions 355 to 774 of the family's 1533-position model. The record is from RNAcentral.
UAAGGAAUAUUGCUCAAUGGGAGAAAUCCUGAAGCAGCAACGCCGCGUGGAGGAUGAAGGGUCUAUGACUUGUAAACUCCUGUAAAGAAGGAAAAAAUUCCCAUUUGAUGGGAGAUGAUGGUACUUCUGGAGUAAGCCCCGGCUAACUACGUGCCAGCAGCCGCGGUAAUACGUAGGGGGCAAGCGUUGUCCGGAUUUACUGGGUGUAAAGGGCGCGUAGGCGGCGCGGUAAGUCACUUGUGAAAUCUCUGAGCUUAACUCAGAACGGCCAAGGGAUACUGCUGUGCUAGAGUGCGGAAGAGGCAACCGGAAUUCUUGGUGUAGCGGUGAAAUGCGUAGAUAUCAAGAGGAACACCUGAGGCGAAGGCGGGUUGCUGGGCCGACACUGACGCUGAUGCGCGAAAGCCAGGGGAGCAAACG